AAACGAUGCCACCAGUAAUCCGUCUGAGUCCCUUAAAUGACUCGACGGGCGACUUCCGGGAAACCAAAGUUUUUAGGUUCCAGGGGAAGUAUGUUUGCAAAGAUGAAACUUAAAGAAAUUGACGGAAGGGCACCACCAGGAGUGGAGCCUGCGGCUUAAUUUGACUCAACACGGGAAAACUCACCCGGCCCGGACACUGGAAGGAUUGACAGAUUGAGAGCUCUUUCUUGAUUCAGUGGGUGGUGGUGCAUGGCCGUUCUUAGUUGGUGGAGCGAUUUGUCUGGUUAAUUCCGAUAACGAACGAGACUCUAGCCUACUAAAUAGAUCGUCGGCUUACAAACGCUGAUGAGACUUCUUAGAGGGACAGGCGGCGAUUCAGCCGCACGAAACAGAGCAAUAACAGGUCUGUGAUGCCCUUAGAUGUCCGGGGCCGCACGCGCGCUACACUGAAGUGAUCAGCGUGCAUUUCCAGCCUACUCUGCCAAGAGUGGGAAACCCAAUGAACCUUCUUCGUGAUUGGGAUAGGAGAUUGUAAUUAUUCUCCUUGAACGAGGAAUUCCCAGUAAGCGCGAGUCAUAAGCUCGCGUUGAUUACGUCCCUGCCCUUUGUACACACCGCCCGUCGCUACUACCGAUUGAAUGUUUUAGUGAGGUCUUCAGACUGGCCGGCGCAGCUGCUCUCGUAGUAGCAGCGCUGUGUUUGGGAAGAUGCCCAAACUUGAACAU
RNAcentral lists this ribosomal RNA (725 nucleotides) under uncultured eukaryote. RNAcentral describes it as "SSU rRNA". It matches the Rfam family "Eukaryotic small subunit ribosomal RNA", at positions 1034 to 1772 of the family's 1831-position model. The record is from RNAcentral.